AUAUGAUUUAGAUUUAAUCUGAAUUUUUUCAUAUAUGAUAUGUUUUGAUUUGAUGCCUAGUAGUCAAGUAAUCGGAUUGGACAUUCUUGGCCGUUCGGUCAUAGAAGAAAGUAAGAUUUUAAGACCCUCUCCUCUCAUUUCAUGGGGAUCUCUUAUGACAUGUAGGAGUGCUGUUUAUUCAUGAAGAUGAACCACGAAAUGAAAAAAAAUUAUUUUUCUGC
RNAcentral lists this long non-coding RNA (221 nucleotides) under Elaeis guineensis (African oil palm). RNAcentral's name for it is "long non-coding RNA (EGUI_LNC045874)". The record is from RNAcentral. Lineage: Eukaryota; Viridiplantae; Streptophyta; Magnoliopsida; Arecales; Arecaceae.